AAUUUUGGACAAUGGGGGCAACCCUGAUCCAGCCAUCCCGCGUGUGCGAUGAAGGCCUUCGGGUUGUAAAGCACUCUUGGCAGGGAAGAAACAGCCUGUGCGAAUACCCUGGGUGACUGACGGUUCCUGCAAAACAUGCACCGGCUCACUACGUGCCAGCAGCCGCGGUAAUACGUUGGGUGCAAGCGUUAAUCGGAAUUACUGGGCGUAAAGCGUGCGCAGGCGGUUCGGAAAGAAAGGUGUGAAAUCCCAGGGCUUAACCUUGGAACUGCACUUUUAACUGCCGGGCUAGAGUACGUCAGAGGGGGGUAGAAUUCCACGUGUAGCAGUGAAAUGCGUAGAGAUGUGAAGGAAUACCGAUGGCGAAGGCAGCCCCCUGGGAUGAUACUGACGCUCAUGCACGAAAGCGUGGGGAGCAAAC
RNAcentral lists this ribosomal RNA (421 nucleotides) under uncultured bacterium. RNAcentral's name for it is "partial 16S ribosomal RNA". It matches the Rfam family "Bacterial small subunit ribosomal RNA", at positions 360 to 773 of the family's 1533-position model. The record is from RNAcentral.